Non-coding RNA from Ictidomys tridecemlineatus (thirteen-lined ground squirrel), 2740 nucleotides. The record is from RefSeq and is a predicted model, not a curated record. Lineage: Eukaryota; Metazoa; Chordata; Mammalia; Rodentia; Sciuridae.
CCAAGAGCCUACUAAGUGAUGGACCAACGCACUUCUAUUCCCAAACACUUCUUUGACUAUUUCUGGUAUCUCCUCGCCCAAGGUAAAAUCCCAGGCCAGAGAAGAGGACACGGAACCUGGGCCACUUCCUUCUAGAGGCUUCUUCUCUACCUCUGGCAAUGUGGCAGAAGGGGAGGAGGAUUGGACAGUAUAAGGGAGUGUCAAGACAUGAAAUCAUCUUUCAGAAGACACCCAGAGAGGAAGCCGUAGGCCAAGAAGCUACAAGCCACCAAACACGAUCAGAAACCCCGUGCCCUUCAUUCAUUGGCUUAUGUGAGCUUCUUGGAGUCACCCCUUGCAUUUGCCUCUCAAUCCCACUCUCCAUUUUCCCAAAGCCUGAUUACCAGUUCCAAUUUACCUUCAGAUCAUCAGGGAUGAAGACUUUGCGAGCUUUCUUAAUCAUGGGCUGUGGCUUCAGUUCUUCCUCAGAGAACUUGCGUUUGCGAGGGUCAAACAUUUCUUGGCCAGGGAUGCUGGAGAGGGCAAGAUCUGCUGGAUCUGGCUCAUAACCCACCGGGACCUGGAUGGUGUCAGGAUCAAUGGGACUUGGUGUAUUGCGGUUUGCUGGCAACAGCUGACCUGGAACAACACAGGAGUUUAAAAUUCAUGAACACUGCAGGGAGACCCAGCAGACUGCUACUUAAUGAUACAACCAAGGAGCUGGAAGGCUGAAUUCAAAGAAGAAAUGGAGUUGGGAAAGCACACAUGCAAGAGACGCGGCCACUAGCAAGGAUGUUUUAAGAGGGCCUGAAUGUCACUGAAGAAGUCUGGGUUUGGUGAACAGACUCAAAGAGUGUCAUGAAGGAAUUGAAGGAGGCACCCCUGGAGACAGAUCAGAUACAAGUCCACUGCAAUAAACCAUGCACCCAUGGCAGUGGAGACAGCGAGAAGGGGGCAAGUUCAAGCAUACUUAACAACUUAGAGAGGACGCAAUGGAGACAAUCUACCCUCCACUUGACGGUUGUACAGGCUAAACCACCGAAAUGCACAAACAUCCAUGGAACAAUGGGUUUAUUGUGUUCCUGAAUACGUCUUACUGGUGAAAGUGAACUUAAUAACAGACCAACAUGUUUAUGCUGGGAGCUCUGAAUCUUAACUUCUGGUUUCACCUGAAUUUUACAAUUGCUUCUUUCACACCCAGAAAAUAAAUGAGAGGACCCAGCAUGGCUAUUGGGCUCAUCUCCUCUUCAUCCUCACUGCCAAUGGUAGGUCACUAUGUGAAGUACCCUUUAGGUUUCAUUAAAAGCUACCCCAGGUUGGAGCAGAAGCCAUUGGCUUGCAUUCUAGCAAAACCGUGAAACCAUGCUUUGUCUGUUUUUUUGGAAGGGCCUGGUAGGGAGCUUGCAAAAUGAGUGCUCUGGGUGACCUUUCAGGUCCCCACUCUGCUUUGAGCUAUUUGCAGCCUGCUUGCCAAAGAGGAAGAGAUGGGCCCCGAGGCACUGGCAGGGGAUGGGGAUUUCUCAUUAGCCAAGCUGCAGCUUAGCUCCAGCUUCUGGAGACUGCUGGGAUCUGUGCUGGAUGGUGUCAAGCUGGAUUUGCUCUUGUGCUGCUUGACAUUGCCUCAGAAAAUGAACCAAACGGGGGUUUUAUUUUCCUUAAAAAACUCUCUUUGAGCUUAACAACAGAACGACCUAACCGCUCCAUCACUACGACCCCUACCACCACCCCACAGGCCAGCGCACCCUUCCCCUACCUUCUCAAGCAUCUGUUAAUACUUCCCAAAUGCAACUGCUCCAAGGUACGACAAGAUCCUCCUUUAUACUUCAGGAUCGUACUUUUAUGCUAUAUUAAAUAUUCUUAAGCUUCACACACACACACACACACACACACACACACACACACACACUCAUACCACAUGGUCUUUCAUUUCAUCUCCACCCAACUCCUUGCCAUGACACCAAUUCAAUGUUCAGCUUCUAUAGAGAGCAUUCCUGGGUUUUUGGUGCACUUCUGAGAUGCUGAGCUAUGACAGUCAUUCGUGGUCAUUCUAACAGGGACUUUCCCAUUUAGGUAGUUCCUUCUCAGCGUUCUUUCUUUUUCGAGCCCUUUCCUCCAGGGGAAGCAGGUCCUCCCUACCUGCAGAAUGGAGAAAACCUGACUGGACCACAGCCCAGGUAAAAAUGGCUUCCCCAGUGGCAAAUGCAGAUGGCAAAGGACCGUGAAACAAAGCCAAGGCCUUUCUCUCCCCCAGAGACUCUGCUGCUGUCUUAUUUAUCCAUAUUUUCCAUAGAAUUACUUCUGCUGGACUCAUCCCCCCCCCUUUAUUCCAAAAUGUCAAUAGUGUCACUGGGAUGCAGGCAGAGGAGCUUUUGUUAUUUUUUUUUCCUACCUUUUGUGGAUUUAAAGCAUCCUCAUGUAAAAAUUGUAGGUUUAAGAAUGUGUCAGUACAUUAACUUUUUACACCGCCAAAAAUAUCUCCUGCAAAAUUCCAAGUGCAGGAAUGUAUCAAGAAAGCUAAAGUCCUAGGUCUUACUAUUCUCCUCUCUCCCAGUCCCUCUCACAUCACUUCUCAGAGGUGACCACCCUCAACCCACUUGGUUGUGAACCUCUCAUGCCUUGGUUUCUUACACAUAAGUGAUUUAAGCCAAGUGGGAUUAUACUAUCCACAUAUCUUAAAUUACUUUUUCAAUAUACCAACAUACCAUAUGCAAGUUCCCACAUCAGUACAAAUAAACUACCUUGUUCUUUUUAAAGGCUGAGC